Molecule: long non-coding RNA, 7895 nt
Filed under: Vitis vinifera (wine grape)
Lineage: Eukaryota; Viridiplantae; Streptophyta; Magnoliopsida; Vitales; Vitaceae
Description: long non-coding RNA (VVIN_LNC000186)
Source: RNAcentral
UGAGUUUAUUCCGUGAUAUGCAUAAAAAUAAAAACUAAUUGAGAUAUUGAUGUGCUGAUAUUCAAUUUAGAAGGUAUAUUUCAUGGUUAACUCAUUUUUCCUUUUUUACAAUUUUUGGACAGGCCAUGCCCAUCAUGUCUAACCCAAUCAACCCUCCCCUCCUUUAAAGAUUAAACCAAGCCUAAUCACUGAAAUUCAUACACUGGGUUCACAAAUAGAGGCUGGUUCGGAAUGUGAUUCUGAUUCACUUGGAACUUGGUUGAAUCGUUGUAUUGGCAUGGCAGUUGGAAUAACUCGAAUUUGUCCACGCCAGGGGGGUCGGUUCCGGCAAUAUUGCUUAUGGUGCCUUGGAAAUCAAAGGCUGAAUGGUAUGAAUUGUCACCUAGAAGUUGUGAAAUUGGACCCAAGUAUUCCAUGUCCAAUAAAUGAGCAAGGGAAAAAGUCCUUGGAAAUUUCACUUGGUGCUGCUCACCGCCAUCAUCUGAAUUUGUAACGGGUAUUUGGGGACCUAAAUUUUCUUCUUUCUCUUCCAAAAUUCUCCCCACAUGCUUCUUCUUAUAGAUCCUACAUAGCACCCAAUCAUCCAACUGAAACACAAAACACGAGCAGUUACUGGUCAGAUCACCAUUAUAUAUAAUCUAUACUCUAAAGAAAAUAGUAGAAAAUUUGAUUCUAAAAGUGAUAAGAACCUACUCUCAUGGAACCAUUGUGCUUCUUGGGGCGUGGCCUUGAAUCACUAAGGCGAUAUUCAUGCAUAAUCCAAUCGGUCUUAAUGCCCUUAGGAGGCCUACCCUUGUAGAACACAAGAGCCUUUUUCACCCCCACAUACUUAGCCCCACUGUAGAUUGCCUUGUCUGUCCCUGUGGCUUUCCAGUAGCCGGACACUGUAGCUCGGUUGGGUCUAGCCCCAUUGGGAUACUUACGGUCACGCGGGCUAAAGAAAUACCACUCAUUUUCUCCAAAUUCCGCCUUCUCUGCACAGCCCAUAUAGUAAAAAUUAAAGGUUAAACACGAGUUACAUGAGCAUGAGCAUAGUUGAGAUAUGUACUCCUACCAAUGAAAUGAAACUCACCAGGCAAUUCCCAAGGCUCGAAUUUGUAGAUAUCCACUUCGGGGAUAAUGGAUACGGGGCAUGGCUUGGAAGUGGCUUGGUUUUUGAGGUAAUACAUGAUGAGUUCCUCGUCGGUGGGGUGGAAUCUAAAACCGGGAGGAAGUUGAGAGCUGCCUUUUCCAUCCAUCGCAGCAGGUUUUCCUUUUGCCUGUUUGGGCAGUUGGAAAGGGUGAGGAAAGGGUAACAGGUGUUGAAGAGAAGGGAGAGUGUUUGAAAUGUUUGAAUGGAGAGCGCUAGCCGUUUUAUUGGUGAGGGUUAUUUGUCGUGUUGUGGAAUUUCCUUGUCUCAGAGUUAUUUUAUUGAUUGGUUUUUUAUUGACUUAGCUUACCUCGUUCCAUACUCGCAGGAUAACACUUUCUUUAUUGGUAUAGGGAUUCUUGGGAUCACGCUGGAAUUGGUCAAUAGAAAUUGGAAAAGAAAGCGAAGGGGAUUGGGUGGGAGAGAGUGUGCUUCAUUUCAUACUCGAGCCGGUGUGACAAGGCCUCAUCUUCAGCAUGGAGAACGGGUCAUCCGAGGUAGCCAUCACAGCCAGCUUCGAAACAUGACACGUGUCCGUACCGAAAAGAGUAAAGUAGGAUAAGCACGAGAGAAAACGUAUGCGCUUUUACUCGUGGUUCUUAUCCACCCACCUCACUCAUUGUGGCAUUUCUUUUUUAUUUGUCACGUGGUCACAUCUCCUCCUUGGCGUCAAGAUCAAUGCACCACGUGGCAAAUGCAACUGUUGGACAGAAUAUUCCAAGGAUCUGAGCCGUUGAAAGGAGGGCCUACCCAUCCUAAAAAAAAAAUUAGGACAGCAUGCGGAGUAGGUGAGGUGUCUGGCUUUGGAUAAUUGGAUGAGCUAGGGAUGACUCCAUACACAUUUCUAUAGAUGGAAAAUUGAAGAUUCAUGUGGAAAUGGAGGCGGGAAGCGAGCAGUGAGCAGUAAUCCUCGAAAUGAUUGGGGUGUUGAACGUGGGAAUGAGAGCUGGAUUUUUCAACCAAUAAUUGGCCUACAUUUUAAGGGUAAAUGGAGACGGUUGGUUGGUGGAAGGCUGGAACUUGAAGGAAGUCUCAUGAACGAUUGCUAAUUACACAAUUAUUAUAUUAAUUUGUGGUUAUGAUUCUUAUGAAUGACAAGAUUCCGUGAGGAUGGCACUGACAGGAUUCCGGACAGACAGCAGUUGCAAUAAACAGUGCAUAGCUUGUCCUUGGCUCGCUCAGUAGCUUGCCUAAUUUCCAAUCCCCACUAAUUAAAAAAUUAUUAAAAAACUUCAAAUUUUAUAAAUCAAUUUUAUUUUUACCUUUUUAAAAAUAAUUUUAAAUACAUACACUUUUUAUAAAUUAAAUAAUUAUUUCCUUGAAAUGAUAAUUUUAUUUGUAAUGUUAAUAAUAUCACUUGAUUAGGAUGAGAAUUGAUUUCAAAGUAAUAAAUAAAAAAUUUUAAAAUUUAAAGAUACAAUUAAAUCUUUAAAAUUAAAAAUAUAAAAAUAAAUGUUAACUUUACUUUGUUAAAAUACGUUAAUAGAAAAUAUAAAUAUUCAGAAAGAGUCGAAAAUAUUAUAAGAGUCAAUAUUUUAUUUUUAAAAUUUUUUAUUUUAAUUGUAUUUAAUUUUUAAGUAUAUUAGUUUUAAUUGUAUUUUCAAUUUUUAAGAUUUCUUAUUUUAUUGUUGAUGUCAACUAAUAAAAUUUUUAUUCAAUUUUAUUAAAAACAAAAUCAUAGGAUGGAUGGAUUUAUAUAAUAUAGGAUAUAAAAUCAUUAUUAUUAAAAAAAAUUAUAAUAUUUUAUUUGUAAUAUAUUUUAAUCAAAUUAAAAUGAUAAAUUAAUUUUUUUGAUAAUUUUAUUUAAUAUCCUCAAGUAAAAGAAUAUUUUAAAAAAUAAUUAUCUUAUUUAUAAAAAAAGUAUAUGUAUUUUAAAAUAUUGUUAAAUGAAUGAAGAUUUUUUUUUGUUCUUUUCCUUGUCUCAUAAAAUAACUUUUUUUGAAGAAUCAAAAGAUUUAUAACUUGUGUUUUAUUAUAUUAUUUUUAAGAUAAUUCUAUUUUAAUAAAAAUAAAAUAAAAUUAAAUAUAAAACCAAAUUUAUUUUUAUUUUAAUGAAAAGUAUCUUCUCUUUUUCUCUUGAACCUUUAAACUAAAGAAAAAAUAAAAUCACAUUCAUUCCAGAAAUUUUUAAUUAAAUAUACUGUGAAGCAUGUUUUUUACCUGCACAGUAGGUAAGUUUUCUUCCACCAACACUCCUGGAAAACGAGUGUGUAAAAGAUGAUUUACUUUUUAAAUAAUAAUUUUUUAAUAUAUGGAAGAGGUGCAUAUGGUAGUAUGACACGUGUACUGAGAAAGGAAGUUGAAAAUAUGAGAACGAGUUAUAACCGUUUUCGAAAACUGAAAAGCAAUUUUUAAAAACUAUUCUCCGAAUAUUAUUAUUAAAAAUAAUUUUUAUAUCUAAUAUUUUAUUUUUAAUCAUUCUACAUGUUUUUGUAAUUAUUUUUUAAAACAAUGCUAAGAAAAUAAAUGAAAAUGAUAUAAAAUAAUUAAAAAAUAUUAUCUGAAAAUAUAAUAUUUUAUGUUCUUAAGAAUAAAUAAUAGAAAAUAGUUUUUAGUUGUCAAAUAUAAUUUUUUAUGUUUUUGGUUUUAGAAAAUAGAAAAUUAUUUUUAAAAGCAUUUCUCAAACAGACCCUUAAUUAUUUUUUAUUUUCUCGUACAUAUGCGGUAAGAAUUAACGCGAACUAAGGCCUUAAUUAAGCCGAGAUGAGAGCAUAAGCACGUGAUCAUGACUUGCCCAACUUUAAAACAAGAUAAUCUCAAUUAUAAAUCUUGUUUUAGUCUAAAGAAAAAAAUAAAUGAAUUGUCCAAUACUGAAAUCUUGUUUGAGGUCAAGGGAUAACAACGAGCAUGCGCAUGAAUGAAAUAAAAUAUGCACAACUUUGACAAUCCUCAAGGUGGGGAAGUGCUCAAAAAGGAAUCCAAAUUGGAUUCACGUGAAAGAACAAAAAAGAAAGAAGGCCAUUUGUGAACCUUUCUUACAAGUUAUACAACAGAUAAGGGUGUAGGAAAGGUUCACAAUUGGCCUCGCCUUCUUUAUAUAUAUCUAUGGGCCCUGGGCCCAUUUUAACACAUUCACACACCAUUUCCACUUAGGCCAUUUAACUCUGAGAACCCAUGUGUCAAGUGUUAGCUUAUUGGCGGAUUGAAUGUGUGAGGUUCGUUUUGAUAACUUUCAAAACAAAAAUCAAAACUAUGUCAAAGUCUCAUACUCAGUACUCAUCACUCAUCCCCCACUAUUAUUUGUUUGACAACCCAACUAUUAUUUGUUUAAGGUUAUAUUUGAUUGUCGGAUAAAAAAAAUAUUAAUGACAAUACUUUUUUUAUAUUUGGUUUUAUUAUAGAUAAUGUGAAAGAAAAUCAAAUGUAAUUAAAAUUAUUUAGAAAUUUAUAUAUUUUAAAUUAUUUAAUUUUUAUAUAAUAAAGUAAAAUAAGUAAAAUGAGUUUGAAGAAACAUGUGUAAAAUUGAUAAUCUAUUCUACCCCAAAAUUCUCAAAUGCUUAAUUAAUGUAGAAAAAUUAUAUUAUUCCUGAAAGAUAAAUGAGAAAUAGAAAGGAUAGUUUAGGGCUACGUUUGGUUCUUGAAAAAUAUUUUAAAAAUAAAAAAAAAUACUAAAAAAAAAUAGUUCUCUCAUAUUGGGUUUCACAAUAGGAAAUAUUAAAGAAAAAUCUAUAAUUUAUUAUAUAUUUAUAUAUUUUUAAAUUAAUUUAUCUUUAUAUACCAGAUAGAAAUAAAAGAUCAUAUAGGUUUGAAGGAUAUAAAAAUAACUUAUUGACUUUAAACCUAUUUUUUAUUUUCUUUUAGUGUUUUUUUUUUAUUUUCUUUCCUUCAUAUUUUACUUUAAAUUUUUUGAAAAUCAAAUAUAACGUAGAUCAAUAAAAUAAUAAAAUGAAAGAAGAUAAAGUUGAAAAUAUAUUUAAUUUAUGAAUCCUAGGACUUCUCUUAUUUAAACUUUUUUUCUACCUUUGUUAACCUUCCCCUUUCUAUCCAUGGCGUUAGUCAAAUCUUCCCAUUAUCUAACUUAAAGAAGCUUGCUAAUUCAUCCUUGGCGUUUGUUUUCCUUUGCCUCCACCUCAUUAAGCACAUACCACCCACCUACUGCUAUCCGCAUCACCAAAUUUUGGUCCAAAUACAUUGGAAUAUUUGCAUGCUUAUUGAAAGCAUUAAUAAAUUUUUGAAUUUUUUAAUACCCCAUUGGGAAACCAGAUAAGCCCAUCUUAGAAAAAGAUACAUUCAGUCGUCAAUGUAGAAAUAAGUAAUAAUCCUACAAUCAUCACAUGCCCUAUUAUUAAAAAGAAAAGAAAAAAAGAAAAAAAAAAUGCAACGUGCAAUAACCCUUUUAAAAGGCUAUGUGAAACUUACACCGACAGCCCAUUAGAUUAUUAACAAUUAUAUUUUUAAAUGUUCCCCUUUGUUUUUGGACAUUAUACUAAUACUUCUUUAUGGCACAUAGAUCAACAUUGAUCAUUAACCAUUGACAUUAGUUGAUUCAUGACAUCAUGUUGAAAAAUGUAAAAAACAAAAUACUGUCGUGCCUUCGUACCUAUGUUACUGUUUGGUUGCUAUUUUUGAAAAUUGUUUUCAGAAACAGUUUUUAAUAAUAGUUUUUGUGUUUUUAGAAGCAAAAUUGUGUUUAAGAAAUGACAAAUUUUGUUCUAAAUAUAUAUAUGUGUGUGUGUGUUUGGUUGAGUUAAUAAUUUUAAAAAAAAAAAUGAGUGUUUUUUUUCUAUUAACUUAAUAUUAUAACAUAUAAAUAUUAAAUUCAUACUUCAUUUAAAUUAAAAAAUGUAUAUUCAAUUUUAAAAUUUAUUUAUACCAGCUAUAAUUUUUUUAAACAAAUGAUUACUUUUUAAAUAUGUAUAACUCUAUAUUUGAUUUCAAUAAAAUUUUUAUUCGUACAUAUGGUAAACUCCUUAAUAAAUGCAUCAUACUAAUACAUGUUUUCAUUUAAAAAAAAGAAUUACUUAAAUUACAUAUAUGCUAAUACAAUCAAUAUUAACACAAAUAAAUAUUAUAAGUAUUAAGACAUCAACAUCAUAUUUUAAUAUAAUAUAUUAAAUUUUUAUAGUUUAUAGAUGAUAUUUUUUUAGACAAUAUAUACAUUCACUUAUUAAUAAUUAAAAUAAAAAUAAAAAAAUGAUAAAUAAUAAAAAAAAUAGAACGAUGCUAUACUUACAACAACCAAUAAGUAAAAGAUAAUUUUGAUGAUUUGUUGUAGGCAUUAGGCGCCGUAAGUUGGCUUAUGGAUCAUACUCAUCAACCCAUAUAAAGUAGUAAGGAUAUUCCUACAAUACAAAAAUUGUUAUAAAUAAAUAAAAAUACGAUGCGUGUAUUUCAUUAAUAUCAAUAUAUUUUCAUGUGAUAGUUAAAUAUACUUACACGAUAUAAUGGACAACGAUAAAACCAAUUACUAUUGUUCUUCUAUGUUUUCGACAUGAAAAUACAUAUAUGUCUACACCCACAAUAACAUAUGAGUUUUUUGUCCAUCCUACUUUUACAAUUAUAAAGCAAAUUUAUAAACAGUAUUUAAUCAUUAGAAAUUACAACAUAUAUCACAUAAUACUAAUGACAACUAGUUAAAAGUAUAUAUAAAUUCUAACAUAUAAUUGAAGUAUUGACAAAUAUUUAGAAUUAAAAAUGGUACAAGUCAUGGAUUGAAAUUGAUAUAAUUUGCCCACAUCAUUUGAGCAAUUUGAUUACUACAAGUUGUUAUAGUUAUUGCACUCUCAUUUGAUAAAUCAAUUGAGUGGCUUAUACUACUGUGCUCUCUUCUUCACCUUGGAUUGAAAGGUUUUCCACCUUAUAUACUCUAAAGAAUUGAUCAUUUCGGAUUGAUAGACGAAUCCAAUUAUGAAGGGUACAACAUACUACAAUAAUCGAUAAUUCUCAACUUGGCUUAUAAUAAGACAUCAUCCUUAAUAUUGGAAACUGUGUCUUCAAAACACCAAAACAUCUUUCAAUAAUAUUUCGAAGGGAUGAAUAUCUAUAAUUAAAAAGUUUUUUUAUACCUAAUGAGUUUCUUACAUCUACCUCGAUAUUCUUGUAAAUAAUAUCACUCACCUUGAUAUGGUAGUAGAAAUCCAGAUAUACAAGGACAACCAAAAUCAACUAAAUAACAUUUUCCUUCACUUAGCUAAGGAAAAUGGACUUUUGGUCUAGUCAAUGCAUAUACAAAGACACAUUCACCAUUAUUUGUUUCUUCCCAAUUAGCAUAAACAAAUAUGAACGUCAUGUCAAAAUCACAUGCACAUAUAACAUUUUGUAUUAUAAUUGUUUUUCUAUCCCUAAUACUAGUUUGUCUAUAAGUUGAAACUCAUGCUCUAAUAUGGGUACCAUCAAUUGCACUGUCCUACAACAAAAAAAAAUAUAUAUAUAUAUAUAUAUAUAUAUAUUAUUAUUAAGGAAAUAAAACAAUGGUCAUGAAAACUUAUGUACAUGAGAUUCACAUUUAUAAUUUUUUUUUUUUUUAUAAAUUAUUACCUUCAACCAUGGAAAAUAUUUAGGAUUACCAAUAACCUAUGAAGACACCUCACUAGCCAUAUUGCUAAGACACAUAAUAAUUUUGACUAGUCGACAUAAUGCUCAUCCAACUUCUUUAAAGUGUAGAGUGACAGUCUCUGUGGAGUGUUGAAAACGAUUUGCUACCACCUUCAUUCUCACAUUAUGCCUUACUAUUAGUAAAAACAUUGUAACUGUCUCUUCGACUAUCAUUAAUAGUGUAUCUUGCAAGUUUUCAUGUCUCUUAAGAUGAUCGUAAAGGUUCAAAAAU